GACGAACGCUGGCGGCGUGCUUAACACAUGCAAGUCGAACGGAAAGGCCCUGCUUUUGUGGGGUGCUCGAGUGGCGAACGGGUGUGUAACACGUGAGUAACCUGCCCUUGACUUUGGGAUAACUUCAGGAAACUGGGGAUAAUACAGGAUAGGAGCUCCUGCUGCAUGGUGGGGGUUGGAAAGUUUCGGCGGUUGGGGAUGGACUCGCGGCUUAUCAGCUAGUUGGUGGGGUAGUGGCGUACCAAGGCUUUGACGGGUAGCCGGCCUGAGAGGGUGACCGGCCACAUUGGGACGGAGAGACGGCCCAGACUCCUACGGGAGACAGCAGUGGGGAAUAUUACAAAAUGGGCGGAAGCCUGAUGCAGCAACGCCGCGUGCGGGAUGACGGCCUUCGGGUUGGAAACCGCUUUCGCCUAUGACGAAGCGUGAGUGACGGUAAUGAGUAAAGAAGCACCGGCUAACUACGUG
This 468-nucleotide ribosomal RNA is filed under the name uncultured bacterium. RNAcentral's name for it is "partial 16S ribosomal RNA". It matches the Rfam family "Bacterial small subunit ribosomal RNA", at positions 28 to 507 of the family's 1533-position model. The record is from RNAcentral.